This 776-nucleotide long non-coding RNA is filed under the name Gallus gallus (chicken). Its description in RNAcentral is "lncRNA (ENSGALG00010022973.1)". The record is from RNAcentral. Lineage: Eukaryota; Metazoa; Chordata; Aves; Galliformes; Phasianidae.
AUAAAAGUCAUUAUCCUUGAGCAGUGCUAAUUGCAAGGAUCCUAAUUCAGAGGUGAUGCUAGCUACUCCCCUUUGUUCACUCCAAUCCCUUCAAGCUUGUGCCUAAAGUAACAGUCAUGUUAGGAGAAGGUGAGAGCUAAAAUGGUCGUGACAUUUUACGAGGCACAUUUUCAUGCUGUUCCGUACCUCCUCCUACUGCUCUUUUUUUGGUCCCCAGUUAGAGGAGCUAUGCCAGUCAUAUGUCUAGCUGCUGUGUGUGCCAGUAUAAUACUCCUCAGUGGGAAAACUCCUUACAACAGGCACUCGCCCUGCCAUCCUUAGCCUGUGCUCAUGAGGGGAAGGGAUCAGAUCCAUCUGUACUUCCCACCUGUUGCUAACUGAUCGAACAUUUUAUACUUUCCCUUUUACCCCCAUCUGCUGGUAAAGCGAAGCUGGCACAUACAAGCCUGUAACUACAGAGAGUGACUGGCAGUGUUCCUGCUUGCUUAAGACAAGUUGCUGAAGUGCUUCAGAGAUGGGGUGAGAAGGGAGAAAAUCCUGUUUUCUUGCACUUUGUACAUCACAAUAUUAUCAUGGGUAAAAUGAAGAGUGUUUCUCAGAAGUAUGCCUUGUGAUUUCUGGCCUGCUCAGACUGCCUGCUUCUUCCAGAUGAGAUGAUGUGACAAAUAAAUACUUAAGAUCUCUGAGAAGUACUCUGCCAUGAGUCUCCCCAGCAGAAGACAGGGUCAGGGGACCUGGCUGUGCCCAUUCCCUGUUUGCACCACAUUAGGAACUGC